AGAGUUUGAUCAUGGCUCAGGACGAACGCUGGCGGCGUGCCUAACACAUGCAAGUCGAACGGAGGUAGCAAUACCUCAGUGGCGAACGGGUGCGUAACACGUGAAGAACUUGUYCMWYSGSSGGGGAWURSCSGSCCMAMSGGCCGGGUAAUACCGCGUACGCCGGUUGGAGCGCAUGCUCUGACCGGGAAAGCAGCAAUGCACCGAUGGAGAGCUUCGCGGCCUAUCAGCUAGUUGGCGGGGUCAAGGCCCACCAAGGCGACGACGGGUAGCUGGUCUGAGAGGAUGGCCAGCCACAUUGGGACUGAGACACGGCCCAGACUCCUACGGGAGGCAGCAGUGGGGAAUAUUGCGCAAUGGGCGAAAGCCUGACGCAGCGACGCCGCGUGCGGGAUGAAGGCCUUCGGGUCGUAAACCGCUGUCGCGAGGGACGAAACAAAUGACGGUACCUCGAAAGGAAGCACCGGCUAACUCUGUGCCAGCAGCCGCGGUAAUUCA
RNAcentral lists this ribosomal RNA (498 nucleotides) under uncultured Pseudonocardia sp. Its description in RNAcentral is "partial 16S ribosomal RNA". It matches the Rfam family "Bacterial small subunit ribosomal RNA", at positions 8 to 527 of the family's 1533-position model. The record is from RNAcentral. Lineage: Bacteria; Bacillati; Actinomycetota; Actinomycetes; Pseudonocardiales; Pseudonocardiaceae.